RNAcentral lists this ribosomal RNA (73 nucleotides) under Bacillota bacterium. RNAcentral describes it as "Firmicutes bacterium (anaerobic digester metagenome) partial 23S ribosomal RNA". Lineage: Bacteria; Bacillati; Bacillota. The record is from RNAcentral.
GUUGAUAGGCCGGGAGUGUAAGGCGGGCAAUCGUCUUAGCGGACCGGUACUAAUAGGUCGAGGACUUGACUAC